RNAcentral lists this ribosomal RNA (251 nucleotides) under uncultured bacterium. Its description in RNAcentral is "partial 16S ribosomal RNA". It matches the Rfam family "Bacterial small subunit ribosomal RNA", at positions 526 to 776 of the family's 1533-position model. The record is from RNAcentral.
CGUAGGGGGCAAGCGUUGUCCGGAAUCAUUGGGCGUAAAGCGCGUGUAGGCGGCUUGAUAAGUCUGCUCUGAAAGCCCGGGGCUCAACCCUGGGAGGCGGGUGGAUACUGUCGAGCUCGAGUCCGGAAGAGGCGAGUGGAAUUCCUGGUGUAGCGGUGAAAUGCGCAGAUAUCAGGAGGAACACCAAUGGCGAAGGCAGCUCGCUGGGACGGUACUGACGCUGAGACGCGAAAGCUAGGGGAGCAAACGGG